UAGUGGCGGACGGGUGAGUAACACGUAGGUAACCAACCCUCAAGCGGGGGACAACCCAGGGAAACUUGGGCUAAUACCGCAUAAGACCACGGACUGGGAGGUUUGUGGUAAAAGGAGCAAUUCACUUGAGGAUGGGCCUGCGGCCUAUCAGGUAGUUGGUAAGGUAAUGGCCUACCAAGCCUAAGACGGGUAGCCGGACUGAGAGGUUGAACGGCCACACUGGAACUGAGAUACGGUCCAGACUCCUACGGGAGGCAGCAGUGGGGAAUUUUGCGCAAUGGGGGAAACCCUGACGCAGCGACGCCGCGUGGAGGAUGAAGGUUUUCGGAUUGUAAACUCCUUUUGUAGGGGAAGAUAAUGACGGUACCCUAUGAAUAAGCCACGGCUAACUCUGUGCCAGCAGCCGCGGUAAGACAGAGGUGGCAAGCGUUGUUCGGAAUUACUGGGCUUAAAGGGCGCGUAGGUGGUGGCAUAAGUCCGAGGUGGAAGACUAAGGCUUAACCUUAGAAUUGCCUUGGAAACUGUAUCACUUGAGUCAGCGAGGGGAUGGCGGAAUUCCAGGUGUAGCGGUGAAAUGCGUAGAUAUCUGGAGGAAGGCCGGUGGCGAAGGCGGCCAUCUGGCGCUGAACUGACACUGAGGCGCGAAAGCGUGGGGAGCAAACAGGAUUAGCUACCC
Molecule: ribosomal RNA, 676 nt
Filed under: uncultured bacterium
Lineage: Bacteria
Description: bacterial SSU rRNA
Rfam family: Bacterial small subunit ribosomal RNA
Source: RNAcentral